UUGGUUUAGGCACAAUGCAAAAGGUGGAUUGCUAUUGUAAACAAACAAACACCCGUGUCUGACUGUAUGCCCCCCUCCCCCCUUCAACAACACCGUCAAAUGCUAGACCAUGAAUUUAAAAGACAAUAAACAAUUGUAAAGGGGUUAUUGUGUCAUGAAACAACUGUGAGUUUCAUGGGUCUUCACCCCUUUAACUAAAUAUUGGCUCCAAGCGGCAGUCAGAUCGGCCAUAGACUGGCACCUGCUGUUGACUCUGAUAUGGAGCCGAUCUGCACAUCACUUAAACAUUUGCAAACUAAAAAAAAAUCAAUAGUUUCAUAGCAAAUCAACUUUGAGAAAAUGGAUUUCAUUUUUUCAUAAUGAAACAAGUAAAGGAGAAAAUUCUACAGCAUCUGAAAAUCAUUCUUUCAGUUGACAUAAGAUUAUAGAAAAAAAACGAUGCAGUAUUAAGCUAUAGGAUGCAAUUCAUGGAUUGUUGAUGCGUAGAAUAUUAGACUGACAGAAAGUGAAAAAUGAAAGAUUAGUAGUACCUAUUUAAGGUAUUGAAAUCUAUAAGACAUGAAAGAUAAGAAAGGGAUUGCGUUGAGAUGAGAUGAGGCCGCAGUGCACAUAGAGUAUAACGUAAGCUUAAGGUGUUAAAACUUGCCUUUUAUAUAGUGGUUGCUCA
Molecule: long non-coding RNA, 667 nt
Filed under: Gossypium barbadense (sea-island cotton)
Lineage: Eukaryota; Viridiplantae; Streptophyta; Magnoliopsida; Malvales; Malvaceae
Description: long non-coding RNA (GBAR_LNC005188)
Source: RNAcentral